UUUCUCUCAGGGUCACACAUGGAGAGUUUCCAGUAUUUUACUAGUCUCAGCUAUGGGAGGGAGAGUUAGGCAGAGGUAUACCCAUUCCAUUCCUAGCUUGGGCAGUGGCUAGUGAGUGGAAGGCAAUCUGCUACAAGU
Molecule: small nucleolar RNA, 138 nt
Filed under: Ornithorhynchus anatinus (platypus)
Lineage: Eukaryota; Metazoa; Chordata; Mammalia; Monotremata; Ornithorhynchidae
Source: RNAcentral